RNA transcript from Panicum virgatum (switchgrass), 1418 nucleotides. RefSeq lists it as uncharacterized. The transcript has 5 exons. The record is from RefSeq and is a predicted model, not a curated record. Lineage: Eukaryota; Viridiplantae; Streptophyta; Magnoliopsida; Poales; Poaceae.
GACGGGGUAGAAAAAUAGGACAAACAGGAGGGGUGCUCCGGGCCAUCUCUCCGGGAAAAACAAGAAGAUAGAUUCUGCACGUCCCUGCCGUGCAGCCGCAAUGGAGAAGCCAACACCGCCGGCGUUCGUUUACCGGAUCAGCACGGCCGACGAGUGGGCGGAGCUCGAGCGCACGGGCGCCACCCUCGGCGGCGACCUCGACCGCUCCACCGGCUGCAUCCAUCUCAGCGACCUAGGCCAGGUGAAGAUGACUUUAAAGAACUUCUUUGUUGGAAGGAAUGAUCUAUACCUACUACAAAUCGACACUUCCAAGCUUGCAGAUGGGAUAGUUUAUGAGAAAAGUGAUGAUAAUAAGUACUUUCCUCAUUUUUAUGGUCCUGGUCGAAGCUUUGUACCUCUUAAACUAGAUGCUGUUGUCAAGGCGGAUAAAAUAGAGCUUGAAAACGAUGAUUUUACCUGCAGCCUACUUGAUGGAAGUAAUCUCCCAUGCUGAUUUGUAGAGUUCGGCCUUCUCUAGCAAUUUCCAUGCUUGCAGCUUGAUAUCCACUCCAUCUUGGCUAACUAUUUGAAGUUAAAUGUUCCAAUCUUAAAUGAUCUAUAAUUUUCAGAGAAUUUUUUCAUAUCUGACUUCAAAAUUGAAAAUAUUUUGCAUAUUUCUUAUUGGUUAUGCUGCAGCUUAUAAGUAUGUUGCUUAGUUUUUAAUUUCCAAGGGAGCAAAGAAUUUCAUUUAUAGAAUUUGGCUCCUGUCACAAUCAUCAAACUAGGUGCUUGAUGGCUACCCAAAGGCCCAAAUAAGGGAGCAAUACAAUAAAUUGGUAGGCCAGUUCUAAGUUAGCAAGGAGGAAGAUUAAUCCAUGAAUAGCGCUAAAAAAAGGGUGUUUUUAGACUAAGGAUAACCUAGGCCCUGUUUGGCUUAACGUAUUAUGCGGUCUGUUCUAAGUGGCAGGAUUACAGCAACUUACCAGGUUCUGCACAAUUGAAGAAUGAACUGAAUAAGCAGAAUUUGUUUUCCACCAGCUUUUCCAAACACCAGAUGUUUUUAAAAAAUGGUGGCCGCCCAAUAUCAAAUUGAAAUGAUUUCUCCAACAGGGAUCUCCAUGUUUCCCUGGCAGAUUCUGAAGAGGCACAGAUUGGAUCAUGAUGAAGGCACGAGUUGUGAAUGUUGAAUUUGUGCUGAUGAACUUGACAAAAACUUCAGCAUGCGAGGGUUGUGGAGUUGAACUACAUAGCAAACUGGUGACAUGUUACUCUAUCUGCCAAACAUACGCUAGAAAAAGUCGCAAAGUGCGCUCCUGACAAGCGAUUAUCUGAUGGGUUAUCUUCUCAAAGGAAGAUGCUCUAUUCGAAUAAGUGUAACUUUCAGUAGUAGAGGGAAAAAAGGGUCUAUUAAUGUGCUAGUAGAUUGAUCUUUGCUAGUA